AACCUUUUGGUCCAGUUUACUGUUAUCCAUUAAUUAUCAUCUCGUGUGCUAACAAAUCAUAAGAGCCGGUAAAGAAUUGUAUAGAGCUAUCUUUUACCCAAGCAAAUUUUCCUUUUCUUAUUGUUAUUACAGGUGGUGAAAGCCAUUGGAGGACUAAUCCCAUUGCCAGCAACCAGCCCCAACGAUCCAAGAAGAAAGGAGCUAGAACACAU
RNAcentral lists this unclassified non-coding RNA (212 nucleotides) under Hevea brasiliensis (rubber tree). Lineage: Eukaryota; Viridiplantae; Streptophyta; Magnoliopsida; Malpighiales; Euphorbiaceae. The record is from RNAcentral.